AAGUCGUAACAAGGUUUCCGUAGGUGAACCUGCGGAAGGAUCAUUAAUGAAAUGCUUAGGAUGCUCUUUUUAGAGGUCCGACCACAUUACAUUUCCCAACACUGUGCACACACUUCUUUUUUACACCCAUUUUAUUAACACCAAGUCUUUGAAUGUAAUCAAGUCUCUUAAUUGAGCAUUUAAUUUAUAUUAAAACUUUCGGCAACGGAUCUCUUGGCUCUC
RNAcentral lists this unclassified non-coding RNA (222 nucleotides) under fungal sp. RNAcentral's name for it is "partial internal transcribed spacer region". The stretch from base 1 to 46 matches the Rfam family "Eukaryotic small subunit ribosomal RNA", at positions 1786 to 1831 of the family's 1831-position model. RNAcentral also lists the same sequence under 1 other name. The record is from RNAcentral. Lineage: Eukaryota; Fungi.